GAUGAACGCUGGCGGCGUGCCUAAUACAUGCAAGUCGAGCGAACAGACGAGGAGCUUGCUCCUCUGACGUUAGCGGCGGACGGGUGAGUAACACGUGGAUAACCUACCUAUAAUACUGGGAUAACUUCGGGAAACCGGAGAUAAUACCGGCUCAUAUAUUGAACCGCAUGGUUCAAUAGUUAAAGACGGUUUUGCUGUCACUUUUAGAUGGAUCCGCGCCGCAUUAGCUAGUUGGUAAGGUAACGGCUUACCAAGGCAACGAUGCGUAGCCGACCUGAGAGGGUGAUCGGCCACACUGGAACUGAGACACGGUCCAGACUCCUACGGGAGGCAGCAGUAGGGAAUCUUGCGCAAUGGGCGAAAGCCUGACGGAGCAACGCCGCGUGAGUGAUGAAGGUCUUCGGAUCGUAAAACUCUGUUAUUAGGGAAGAACAAAUGUGUAAGUAACUAUGCACGUCUUGACGGUACCUAAUCAGAAAGCCACGGCUAACUACGUG
RNAcentral lists this ribosomal RNA (497 nucleotides) under uncultured bacterium. RNAcentral describes it as "partial 16S ribosomal RNA". It matches the Rfam family "Bacterial small subunit ribosomal RNA", at positions 28 to 507 of the family's 1533-position model. The record is from RNAcentral.